Molecule: ribosomal RNA, 492 nt
Filed under: uncultured bacterium
Lineage: Bacteria
Description: partial 16S ribosomal RNA
Rfam family: Bacterial small subunit ribosomal RNA
Source: RNAcentral
AGUGAACGCUGGCGGUAGGCCUAGCACAUGCAAGUCGAACGGCAGCACAGUAAGAGCUUGCUCUUACGGGUGGCGAGUGGCGGACGGGUGAGGAAUACAUCGGAAUCUACUUUUUCGUGGGGGAUAACGUAGGGAAACUUACGCUAAUACCGCAUACGACCUACGGGUGAAAGCAGGGGAUCUUCGGACCUUGCGCGAUUGAAUGAGCCGAUGUCGGAUUAGCUAGUUGGCGGGGUAAAGGCCCACCAAGGCGACGAUCCGUAGCUGGUCUGAGAGGAUGAUCAGCCACACUGGAACUGAGACACGGCCCAGACGCCUACGGGAGGCAGCAGUGGGGAAUAUUGGACAAUGGGGGCAAGCCGGAUCCAGCCAUACCGCGUGGGGGAAGAAGGCCUUCGGGUGGUAAAGCCCUUUUGUGGGGAAAGAAAAGCAGCAGGUUAAUACCCCGCUGUUCUGACGGUACCCAAAGAAGAAGCACCGGCUAACUUCGUG